Molecule: long non-coding RNA, 2119 nt
Organism: Neofelis nebulosa (Clouded leopard)
Lineage: Eukaryota; Metazoa; Chordata; Mammalia; Carnivora; Felidae
Exons: 2
Source: RefSeq, a predicted model, not a curated record
GUAAACAUGAGUAUGUUCUAUCACUGAGCUUGGCUCUAGAAAACCUUUUUAUGUAUUAAAGCUCAUAAUGACAACAAUGACUGCUAGACUGAUAAAGCAGCAUGUGGAGGACACAGAUGUUAUCAUAACUUCUUAAUGUGUCAGUCACCAUUUUAUAGCCACUAGAAAGGCACACCAUGAUAUAUACUUUUAUACUGAGAGUUUGGGCUAUUUGCUGUAUGUUGAUUGCACCACCAAGUCAAUGGCUAAAGCCCCAAACUGAUCAUGUUUCUCACUCCUUAAACAUCUCCAGUGACCCCCGCCCCCACCAUUGCCCAAAGGACCGGGCCCACGCUUGGCAGGCAAAACCAUUGCUAAUGUGAUCCAAACAAACUUUUCAGCAGCUUCAUGGCCUGCCUCCCCAACCCUCUCCCUCCUUUCACCGCAUCUAUGCCCAGGAGAAUGGAUUUCACCACUUCCUGAACAUAUCCUGCUCCCUCAUGCUUCUGAGCCUCUGCUUUUACCCUUCUUAUUUUGUUUCUCUGGAGAACAUUCUUCCACAUUCUUCAACAUCCAGCAUUAAUACAUCUCUGUGAAUUAUUCCCCAAUUCCUUCAGGCAGACCUGUGUGUACCGUCUUUUUGCUAAUGGGAAGAGAGUUUUACCUGCCUAUAUUAACUUACUUGCAACAUUCUGUUGAAUACAGAGGCAUCGGUCUACAUUACUGGCCUGGGAAUGAACUCUCCAGUUUCUUCAACUGAUACAUGGGAGUAAUAGUAACCUUAUAGGGCUGUUGAGAGGAUUAGACAUGAAAGUGUGCUACUGAGCAGUGCCAGACACAAAUAAUCGCCCAAUGAAUGAUAACUGUAAUUAUUGGAUCAAAGUGUCCAUGUUCUCUUGACAGACCCCUCUACGUCUAGUAACUCAUGGCUGUGAGACAAACAUCUUGAACAGAGAUUCUAUUGGUGUGGAACCAAUCCGUUUGAGAGUCAGACCAUUGACCUUGAUCCUGUUGGCACCAUGCCCAGCCUAAUUGUAUUUGAAGAUCAGAGGUCAGAUGGGCAUUGCGUAGAACUUCAGAGAAGAGAAACCCCAGCUGCCUACUCUUACAAGCCACAAGCAUGAAAACAGAUCCUUGUGUGUUUACAUUCUGUUUGGACACAGAAGCCGGCUCAGGAUAUCUCAGCUCUAAUCCCGGUUUUCUGGCUCACUAGCGGUGUCACCUUGGGAUGAGAGUUCUCUUUGGAACUCGGUUGCCAUGGGGACUUUGAUUUGCCUGUUUCUAACAUCUUUGAGCUUCAGAUGUGAUUCUAGACCCCCUCCUUGGCAGUCUCAACUGUCUGAAACAGCCACGAACUGGAAAGUAAGCAAAGAUUGGCACGUGUUGGUAUUGCAAAGUUUGGUGCUAGAGCAUGCCUACUUUAUCUUUAGCAGAGCGCCUAAGUCCUCACCUCGAACUCAUUUACUCUGCUUUCCACUCAAGUUUAAGAAGCCUGUAUCUGACUUUCCAUGUCAGUAGGGUGGGGGUACACAUAGCACUUGAGAGGCUGCUACAGUUAGGCGUGCCGACAAGCAUAAAAGUUCAACGUCAUUCAAUUCAAUUCCAUGCAGCUGAGCUGAAGAUUCACAGACUUUCAUCAAUGUCAUCAAGGAAUGACACUGACAAGCCUGAUUCUGAAGAGAGAAGCAGAAAAACUAUAAAAGUGCAGCCAUGUGGGCCAUUUAGUGUAGAAAUAAAUAGCUCCUCUCGUGGCAAUGAGUUCUUCAGGAGUGGACAUUGGCCCUGGAGUCAGAAGACUGGGAUGGGAGUGUCAGUUCUUUUUCUUACUAAGUGUGUGAUUUUGCUUGAGUCAUGGAAACAGAGGAGCUCCAGGUUUCUUCUCUAUAAAAUGGAAACAAUCGUACCUAGGAUAGCUUCCCUUUACUGAUAUGUGCUGCCAUUAGCCUGUUCGAUUCUCUCAGCAACCUGAGAAUUACAUUUCAUUCUGUAUGUGAGGACACCAAGGCCUAAAGAGAUUAUUGUCUGCCCAAUGUCAAAUAAGUAAGAAAACCCAUCUCUAUAUCUAUUUAUACAUGGAGGGAUUGAAACUGUAAAGGUUUUAUAAACAUGUAUUAGAAUAUAGCAUGAUAAUUAAUAUUCA